AGCAGCCGCGGUAAUUCCAGCUCCAAUAGCGUAUAUUAAAGUUGUUGCAGUUAAAAAGCUCGUAGUUGAAUUUUAGGCCUGGCCGGGCGGUCCGUCUUUGGCGAGUACUGUCUUGUUGUCGGGUCUUCCUUCUGGUGAACCAGUAUGUCCUUUAUUGGGUGUGUUGGGGAGCCAGGACCAUUACCUUGAAAAAAUUAGAGUGUUUAAAGCGGGCUAUUGCUUGAAUAGAUUAGCAUGGAAUAAUAGAAUAGGACGUUGUGGUUCUAUUUUGUUGGUUUCUAGGACCACCGUAAUGAUUAAUAGGGAUAGUUGGGGGCAUUAGUAUUCAAUUGUCAGAGGUGAAAUUCUUGGAUUUAUUGAAGACUAACUAUUGCGAAAGCAUUUGCCAAGGAUGUUUUCAUUAAUCAAGAACGAAAGUUAGGGGAUCGAAGACGAUCAGAUACCGUCGUA
This 450-nucleotide ribosomal RNA is filed under the name uncultured Archaeospora. Its description in RNAcentral is "SSU rRNA". It matches the Rfam family "Eukaryotic small subunit ribosomal RNA", at positions 569 to 1022 of the family's 1831-position model. Lineage: Eukaryota; Fungi; Glomeromycota; Glomeromycetes; Archaeosporales; Archaeosporaceae. The record is from RNAcentral.